RNAcentral lists this unclassified non-coding RNA (323 nucleotides) under soil metagenome. Its description in RNAcentral is "partial contains 5.8S ribosomal RNA, internal transcribed spacer 2, and large subunit ribosomal RNA". The stretch from base 1 to 120 matches the Rfam family "5.8S ribosomal RNA", at positions 35 to 154 of the family's 154-position model. The record is from RNAcentral.
GAUGAAGAACGUAGUGAAAUGCGACAAGUAAUGUGAAUUGCAGAAUUCCGUGAAUCAUCGAAUCUUUGAACGCACAUUGCGCCCUGUGGUAUUCCGCAGGGCAUGCCUGUUCGAGCGUCAUUUCAACCCUCAAGCUCUGCUUGGUGUUGGGCCCUGCCCGCUGCGGCCGGCCCUAAAGACAGUGGCGGUGCCGCCUGGCCCUGAGCGUAGUACAUCUCUCGCUCCAGUGCCCGGUGGUAGCCUGCCAGAACCCCAACUCUCGUGGUUGACCUCGGAUCAGGUAGGGAUACCCGCUGAACUUAAGCAUAUCAAUAAGCGGAGGA